Molecule: long non-coding RNA, 353 nt
Filed under: Gossypium barbadense (sea-island cotton)
Lineage: Eukaryota; Viridiplantae; Streptophyta; Magnoliopsida; Malvales; Malvaceae
Description: long non-coding RNA (GBAR_LNC011252)
Source: RNAcentral
UUGAAAUGAAACAAAACAUGAAAUAAUACUUUUGUACCACAAAGUCAUUUUGAUUUCUAUAAGGCAGCAUGUUAAAGAGCCAUGCGCUAUAUACUGUAAAUAGCAAGUACUCUCAGAUUCUACUAGUCAAUCCUAAAAAAUAACCUUUUGACCUUUCUACUUGCAUAGGCCAGCUCAUCAAAAGUGUAACAGUACACUUCACUUAUUUGACACACAACCUAUAAGUCUCGUUAAGGACUAUAAGUCUAGCCUACUCAUUGUGAAAUGGAGUGCACCAACCAUCAAGAAUAAGACUUUGUUAGAAUAGUCUUUGCCCCCACUAUUUUAAAAAUAUUUAAUGCACUUGAAUUGUU